CGAGAGCGGAGAAACCGGAGCGGGCCAGGCCGGCAAGGGAGGAGGUGGACCGGGAGAGACGCCGAGGGAAGACCGGGCAGCGCGCGCGACUACCGGAGGGUACAGGCCUGGGGCUGGCGAAACGGGGAAAGGGAAGAUCGGAAGGUUUGAAGGCGGAAGAAGAUCCGAUCUUCCAAAAAAAAUCACUUCAAGUCUUUUUUCUUUUCCACCUCAUUUGAAACACAAACGAAAAAUAAAAUCUUCCUUUUAAUUGACAAUGCCAUCCAACGCAGCGACUGCCAAUCCUGCAUUCAAAACUUCCGACUUGGACUGUGACGCAGCAACGAAAAAAACGAGUGCAGGGCAGGCGGAGCAGGAAGUGAAGGACGCCUCACAGGAAGUGAGUGUGAAGAGCACUCCAGCACGCAGAGUGGGUCGGCCGGCCAGAAAACGCAAAGCUGUGAACAGCUGCGACUCGGCGAAAGAGGGGAAGGGAGGCGGAGUUGAACGGCGAGGCUGAGAACGGGAUCUCCCAGGGGUGCUUUGCAGGAGGAGCGUAGCCCGAGCCCCACGGCGGCGCUGCAGAACGGCACGGCCAGUUCGCCCGAGCAGGAGGGCUCGUCUCCGCGCAAGAAACGCGGGACGCCGGAAACUAGAG
Molecule: long non-coding RNA, 637 nt
Organism: Sardina pilchardus (European sardine)
Lineage: Eukaryota; Metazoa; Chordata; Actinopteri; Clupeiformes; Clupeidae
Exons: 4
Source: RefSeq, a predicted model, not a curated record